UAAUUACAACUAGAUCCCAAAAUUUUAUUAAUGUAAAAACAUCAUUAAAGGAUCAAAACAAUUCGUCCUUUAGCGUUUUAGGGCCUUAACGUAAAAACGUAAACUUUUGGGCCAAAGUGCAAAUACAUAAAAGUAUCAAAACUUUAUGUAAUUGCAUAAAAGACCCCAAAAGUACCCCCACUAGGGGGUGGCCGGUUUUUAGAGAGGUAAAGUAGUGUGAAAGGGUUUUAUGCAAGUUGAGCAUGCAUGUGCAAAAUGCAAGUGGAUUUUGGUGAGUGAGUUAUUGGUGAAAUUGAUGGUUUGUAAGAAAAAUAAAAGAUCUAUGACAAAUCAUUAAAACCAUUUCAUCACAUCUCACCAAUAACCAUCAACCAUCAAUUAAUAAACCAAAACUUUAUGAAAAACAUAAAACUUUAGAAUCAAAACUUCAAACCCUUUUGUUCUUGGUAAGAACUUCAAGAACAUUGAAGAACACCAUGAAAACUCAUAAUAGCUCCAUGAAUGUUUUCAAUCACCAAAACUCAAUUUUUCACCUCUCAAAAGAGGGCUAAUAUCCUAGGGUACUUAGGGGUUCCAAAAGUCACCUUAAAACCAUUUUAACAAGACAAACAUGAACCCAAAAAAUCACCCUAAGGAUUUGGCCGAAUUUCCCAAAAUACAUGGCACCAAAUUUUAGUUCCAAUAUUCAUGCUUAAAUGAAAUACAUCUACAACAUUUGAGAUGCUAAAUUUUCUAGCAAAAUUUAUAUAUUCAAAAGCAAGAACAAAGCUUGUAACAUUUACAACAUUUAAAUCACAAAAUAUGAAAGUCACAAAACCCAAAAGGAUUCACCAUAAACUAGGCCUAGGCUCUGAUACCACUUGAAGGAAAAAUUUUGUCCUAGCCAAGAACAAGUAUGAACAUUUGAAUACAAAGGCAAGCUAUUAACACUUUAAAGUAGACAUGCAUUAAAAACCAAUUCAUAAAACCCAUGACUUUCAAAGCCUAGUAUAUGGUGAACCAAUAAACUCUUUAACAACAUUAAAGAGA
Molecule: long non-coding RNA, 1029 nt
Filed under: Malus domestica (apple)
Lineage: Eukaryota; Viridiplantae; Streptophyta; Magnoliopsida; Rosales; Rosaceae
Description: long non-coding RNA (MDOM_LNC013862)
Source: RNAcentral